UACGUAGGGGGCGAGCGUUGUCCGGAUUCAUUGGGCGUAAAGAGCUCGUAGGCGGUUUGGCAAGUCGGGUGUGAAAUCUCCGGGCUCAACUCGGAGAGGCCACUCGAUACUGCUAUGACUAGAGUCCGGUAGGGGACAAUGGAAUUCCUAGUGUAGCGGUGAAAUGCGCAGAUAUCAGGAGGAACACCGGUGGCGAAGGCGGUAGUCUGGGCCGGUACUGACGCUGAGGAGCGAAAGCGUGGGGAGCGAACAGG
RNAcentral lists this ribosomal RNA (254 nucleotides) under uncultured bacterium. RNAcentral's name for it is "partial 16S ribosomal RNA". It matches the Rfam family "Bacterial small subunit ribosomal RNA", at positions 524 to 776 of the family's 1533-position model. The record is from RNAcentral.